This 463-nucleotide long non-coding RNA is filed under the name Coturnix japonica (Japanese quail). RNAcentral's name for it is "lncRNA (ENSCJPG00005004395.1)". Lineage: Eukaryota; Metazoa; Chordata; Aves; Galliformes; Phasianidae. The record is from RNAcentral.
CAAGGAAAUGUUGGUGCUCCAUCAAUUCUAACAAGAUGCAGCUGUUGGAAGGGCCUUUUCAGGUUUGUAAUUCAGACCCCAGCUGGAUUCACACUACUUAGAUUUAUUGGCACUCUGAGCAUAUUGUGAAGGCAAUAUUUUCUCCUCUCUUUUGUUGUUGAGGAAGGAGGGAAGCAGAGAUGAGUGUAUUUGUUCAGAUGAGAGUACACAGAGUCAACAGUUUUCAUGUAAAUGUGUUUGAAGUACAGAAGAAAAUAAUUGAAGAGUUUGUUGAGGCUUAUCUACCAUGGAGAAUCAGGAACUGAAUGUGUCCUUCAGCAGUUUCUUAUUCUUUAGUAAGUGCUGAUUCAUUUUUGAUUGUGUAAAAUUAAAGUUAGUAUUCGAAGUAUUCAAAGAAGCUGUUGUUUUGUCACAGCACAGGAAUUGCUGAAUGUCAUGAAAACAUAAUGUUGCUUAAUCCCCA